AUGGGGACAUGCUGGGGACACGAUGGGGACACUUUGGCUACACGAUGGGGACAUGCUGGGGACACGAUGGGGACACUUUGGCUACACGAUGGGGACAUGCUGGGGACAGUUUGGGGACACGUUGGGGACACAAUAGGGACAUACUGGGGACACGAUUGGGACAUGAUGGGGACAUGAUGGGGACAUGAUGGGGACAUGAUGGGGACAGUUUGGGGACGUGAUGGGGACACGAUGGGGACACUUUGGCUACAUGAUGGGGACACAUUGGGGACACACUGGCGACACAAUAGGGGCAGUUUGGGGACACAUUGGGGACACGUUGGUGACACACUGGGGACAUGCUGGGGACAUUAUUGGGACACACUGGGGACACGAGGGGGACAUGAGGGGGAUACGUUGGGGACAUGAUGGGGACACGAUGGGGACAUGAUGGGGACACUCUGGGGACACUUUGGCUACAUGAUGGGGACACAUUGGGGACACGAUGGGGACAUGUUGGGGACACGCUGAGGGCACGAUGGCUACACGAUGGGGACACGCUGGGGACACGUUGGGGACACGCUGGGGACACGCUGGGGACAGUUUGGGGACCCGAUGGGGACACGUUGGGGACACUUUGGCUACACGAUGGGGACAGUUUGGGGACACGAUGGGGACACGAUGGGGACACACUGGGGACAUGCUGGGGACAUUAUUGGGACACACUGGGGACACGAGGGGGACACGAGGGGGACACGAGGGGGACACGAGGGGGACACGAUGGGGACACUUUGGCUACACGAUGGGGACAGUUUGGGGACACGAUGGGGACACGAUAGGGACACACUGGGGACAUGCUGGGGACACAUUGGGGACACGAUGGCUACAUGAUGGGGACACGACGGCUACAUGAUUGGGACACGCUGGGGACACGCUGGGGACACGUUGGGGACAAUUUGGGGACACGCUGGGGACACGUGGGUGCCCUGACCGCGCUCGAUGCUCUCGAACUCCUUCUCCUCGCCCGUCAUGCGUGGGAUGCGCGUGCACGCGUUGCUCACGCUCGUGGCCACCGCGUACACCUGCACCACGGGGCACCAGUGUCACCAGCGUCACCGGUGUCACCACUGUCUCCCAUUGCCACCAUUGUCCCCAGUGUCCCCAUUCCCCCCAGCAUCCCCAGUGUCCCCACUAUCUCCCAUUGCCUCCAGUGUCCCCAGCGUCCCCAACAUCUCCCAUUGUCCCCAGUGUCCCCAAUGUCCCCAUUCCCCAUAAUGUCCCAAUUCCCCCCAGUGUCCCCAUGCCUCCAAAACCUCCAAUGUCCCCAUUGCUCCCACUGCCCCCAAUGUCCCCAUUCCCCAUAAUGUUCCUAUUCUCCCCCACUGUCCCCAGUGCCUCCAAUACCCUCAACGUCCCCAUUGCUCCCAUUGCCCCCAGUGUCCCCACUCCCCCCAGUGCCCCCAUGCCUCCAAUACCCCCAGUGUCCUCACUGCUCCCACUCCCCCCAGUGUCCCCUGGGUCCCCAAUGUCCCCUUUCCCCAUAAUGUCCCUAUUCUCCCCAACUGUCCCCAGUGCCUCCAACGUCCCCAGCAUCCCCACAGAUCCCACUCCCCCCCUUGCCCCCCCCUUGCCUCCCUGUGCCCACCUUGGACUCGACGUGGUAGGCGACGUAGUGCGCGGUGCAGCGCAGCGGGAUCUUGCGGACGGGCCACGGCGCGUCGUAGGAGAGCGCGGCGGGCAGGACGCUGAUGCGCAGCUCCCCCUGACAAGGGGGGACCCCAAUUAACGGGAACCCCAAUUAACGGGAACCCCAAUUAAUGGGAACCCAGUCAACGGGGGCCCAAGUGAACGAGAACCCAAAUUGGAGAGAACCCACGUUCAUGGCAAAGGACAUGAAUGGAAAUGCAAAUGAAUGAGAAUCCACGUCAACGGCGGCUCAAGUGAAGGGGGGACGCCAAUUAAUGGGAUCCCCAAUUAAUGGGAACCCAAUUAAUGGGGACCCCAAUUAAUGGGAACCCAGUCAACGGGGGCCCAAGUGAACGAGAACCCAAAUUGAAGAGAACCCAAGUUAAUGGCAAAUGACACAAAUGGAAACGCAAAGAAACGAGAAUCCAUGUCAAUGCUGACCCAAGUCAAGGGGGACCCCAAUUAACGGGAACCCCAAUUAACGGGAACCCCAAUUAACAGGGGCCCAAAUGAACGAGAACCCAAACUGAAGAGAACCCAAGUUCAUGGCAAAGGACAUGAAUGGAAACGCAAAUGAACGAGAACCCACGUCAAUGGCGGCUCAAGUGAAGGGGGGAUGCCAAUUAACGGGAUCCCCAAUUAAUGGGAACCCAAUUAAUGGGGACCCCAAUUAAUGGG
Molecule: long non-coding RNA, 2343 nt
Filed under: Numida meleagris (helmeted guineafowl)
Lineage: Eukaryota; Metazoa; Chordata; Aves; Galliformes; Numididae
Description: lncRNA (ENSNMEG00000004316.1)
Source: RNAcentral